ACCACACCUUAUUUUCUCUCUAGCUAAUUAUUUUGUUGUUUCAAUAUGCAAGGAAGCAACAACGUGACUUACAUUUAUAUGGAAACAACGCAGUUUUGAAUUGAUAGAGCACUAACGUGACUUGGUAUUUUACGGAAGAAAAAUGUAAUUUUUUUUCUCAAGAACAAUAUUCGGAUUUUGCUCACUGCUUCGAUCUCGUUAUUCCAUCUUAUCGUGUUGUUAAAUCCGGGCUUUUUUCGUAGUGAAGUAAGGUGGAAGAAGAUUAUUUCUUGGAAUAUAAGACAUGCGAGCUCGAGAAGUAGACGUUGGACAUUAGAUAGAGUUCAAGGUAGACAGGGAGGUGAGCUUGGUCCAGACCCUUAGUAGCUGUCAGCUGAUUAAGAGCACUCCAUUGUCCGGAGGUUCUUAUGAUUCUUCUUUUGGUAUAUAUGCAUAUUUUGGGCACGACAGAGUCUUGUUCCGUCUAUAUGUUUAGUAUGUCAGUAGAGGCUCGUAGAUACGCAGUGUGGGUCAGAUGGUCUCACAAGAUGUUAUUAUUAUGUAUAUAUUAUUUUGAUGGCCGAGAGGCAAAUGUAUAUAAGUAUUUAUGUUUCUAUAUAAAAUAUGAUUUUCCUACAAUUCGUGUAUAAAAUUGGUAAAAGGGCAUUAAAUGAGUAAGAUGAGUAUUAG
Long non-coding RNA from Lycium barbarum (goji berry), 669 nucleotides. RefSeq lists it as uncharacterized. The transcript has 3 exons. Lineage: Eukaryota; Viridiplantae; Streptophyta; Magnoliopsida; Solanales; Solanaceae. The record is from RefSeq and is a predicted model, not a curated record.